RNAcentral lists this long non-coding RNA (224 nucleotides) under Brassica napus (rape). RNAcentral describes it as "long non-coding RNA (BNAP_LNC021256)". The record is from RNAcentral. Lineage: Eukaryota; Viridiplantae; Streptophyta; Magnoliopsida; Brassicales; Brassicaceae.
AUCCUAACUCCUAUAAUAUUUAUUCAACUUCCUGGUGAUUCUCCACUACUUUAUGUAACCAAAUCAAGCUUUGUACAUCGUGAUUCAUCCUGGUUUGAUUAGAAUGACGAAGAAGUUGUCAUAUUCCCAAACAGGAAAAAUGGGUUCACCUGAUAAGGCUUUGUACAUCGCGAUUUUUCCUGGUUUGAUUAGAAUGACGAAGAAGUUGUCAUAUUCCCAAACAG